GGAUAGGCGAUGACGACUGAGCUCCGCGCGGCGGAGGUCCUCGUCUCCGUGCGGUGAUGGUGGCCCCCGUGGGGUGAUGGCUGCACAGCCCGCUUCUGGGAAGAACUGGGAAUGGACAUCUCAUCGAGCGACACAGAUAGCGUGCUUCUACGGAUCUCUCGACCACAGGCGAUGAUGCCAGAGAAGCACUUCAGUACCUUCAUCUUGCUGUGCUGUUGGGAGCUGUGGAAACGCCGCAACAAUGUGGUGUUUCGGGGAGAAAGAGCGACGAUUCAAGAGACGCUGAGGGCCUGCCGAGCAGAUGUAGAGCUAUGGAAACAUAGACUACGCCAAGAAGACCGCUGGGUAGUGGCGGCCUGGUGCGCGAGGCUGCAUAAUGGCUAGAUAAGCUAAAAAUGUGUUUGGUGUUGGAAUUGAGUGGGUGACACUUUUGGCAAGUGUUCGCCAACUGUAAAACUUUCCUGAAUUCAGCCAUUUGGGGCAAUUUGGCAAUACAAUCAGGUGGGGAUCCUCUCCCCCC
Panicum virgatum (switchgrass) is the source of this 520-nucleotide long non-coding RNA. RefSeq lists it as uncharacterized. The transcript has 2 exons. Lineage: Eukaryota; Viridiplantae; Streptophyta; Magnoliopsida; Poales; Poaceae. The record is from RefSeq and is a predicted model, not a curated record.